ACUCUGAUGCAGCCCUGCCGCGUGUGUGAAGAAGGCCUUAGGGUUGUAAAGCACUUUCAAUAGGGAGGAAAAGCUGUAGGUUAAUACCCUGCAGCCGUGACGUUACCUAUAGAAGAAGGACCGGCUAACUCCGUGCCAGCAGCCGCGGUAAUACGGAGGGUCCGAGCGUUAAUCGGAAUUACUGGGCGUAAAGCGCGCGUAGGCGGAUAUAUAAGUCAGAUGUGAAAUCCCCGGGCUCAACCUGGGAACUGCAUUUGAAACUGUAUAUCUAGAGUGUGGUAGAGGUGAGUGGAAUUUCAGGUGUAGCGGUGAAAUGC
This 317-nucleotide ribosomal RNA is filed under the name uncultured Methylophaga sp. RNAcentral's name for it is "bacterial SSU rRNA". It matches the Rfam family "Bacterial small subunit ribosomal RNA", at positions 380 to 689 of the family's 1533-position model. Lineage: Bacteria; Pseudomonadati; Pseudomonadota; Gammaproteobacteria; Thiotrichales; Piscirickettsiaceae. The record is from RNAcentral.